ACCAGACUCCUACGGGAGGCAGCAGUGGGGAAUAUUGCACAAUGGGGGAAACCCUGAUGCAGCGACGCCGCGUGAGCGAUGAAGUAUUUCGGUAUGUAAAGCUCUAUCAGCAGGGAAGAAAAUGACGGUACCUGACUAAGAAGCCCCGGCUAACUACGUGCCAGCAGCCGCGGUAAUACGUAGGGGGCGAGCGUUAUCCGGAUUUACUGGGUGUAAAGGGAGCGCAGGCGGCGUGGCAAGUCAGAUGUGAAAACCCGGGGCCCAACCCCGGGACUGCAUUUGAAACUGCCAUGCUGGAGUGCCGGAGAGGCAAGUGGAAUUCCUAGUGUAGCGGUGAAAUGCGUAGAUAUUAGGAGGAACACCAGUGGCGGAGGCGGCUUGCUGGGUCGAUACUGACAUUGAGGCACGAAAGCGUGGGGAGCAAACAGGAUUAGAUACCCUUGUA
RNAcentral lists this ribosomal RNA (445 nucleotides) under uncultured bacterium. Its description in RNAcentral is "bacterial SSU rRNA". It matches the Rfam family "Bacterial small subunit ribosomal RNA", at positions 330 to 792 of the family's 1533-position model. The record is from RNAcentral.